This is an RNA transcript of Ailuropoda melanoleuca (giant panda), 8712 nucleotides long. It is a transcript of the gene named potassium inwardly rectifying channel subfamily J member 15, with no coding region annotated. The record is from RefSeq and is a predicted model, not a curated record. Lineage: Eukaryota; Metazoa; Chordata; Mammalia; Carnivora; Ursidae. The transcript has 9 exons.
GGCUGUCUCUCUCUCUGUCAAAUAAAUAAAUAAAGUCUUAAAAAAAAAAAGAAGUCUUUCUUCCAUCAGAUGGGAGUAAGUGGCCUUGACAAGGGCUGGAAAAUCUUUUAAGGCCGGCUUACCUACAAGGCCAGCUUGUCCCCUAGGUUUACAGAAGGACAGUUACUUUGCCUUACUCUUUCAGUUGGUAGCCCCUAUGACUUGAAUAGUUGGCUUGUUAAGGUCCUUUUCAGAAUGUGGUGUCAUUAUUAUAAUUUCAAAAUCUCUCAGGUCCUUUGUGGAACACAGAGCAGCCACAUUCCUCGCCCUAAAGGACGUCCUAAAACUUGGCAUGUUUGACCAUGACUGUGCUGAACAGAAGAGGGCCAGACCUGUGUGUUUACCUGCUUCCCUAUCUGUCUCAACCUCAAUUAAGGAAAAAAGUUGAGUGGCUUGUGAGUUCCGGGUUGAGGCAAGAGGCAGCAGGAAGAAGUUAAUGCCUCAGGGAUCUUGUCUGGGCCAUACGGCAUGUUUUGGGAAGAAGGAGCAAAGAGAGAGAAUGCUAGAACCGGUCACAAUCCUUGAAAGGCAAAAUGAAACGAUUCUGAAUCUUUGUACUCUUCAGAGAUGUUGUAUGCGUCAUCAAUGAAUCCCCAAAAGCAAAGGGCGAACUUUGGGGGAAGGGCUGCCACCUGCUUCCAUUUUGCAUCAAAUGCCUGGGGACGCUAUUUUGUUUCUAGCCUGAUCUGGUGUAGUAUCCACUAGGAUAUUUGUGCCGGCGUCUUUGGAGUAAUUAUUCUUAUUGUUUCACUAACACUUCAUCAGCUUGAGCCUCCAAGCCCAUCGGCCAAAUCUGGGAAGGGAAUGAGUCAAACGGCAUGUUCUCACCUCCUGACAGCGUCAGACUGAUACCACGUUUCUUUUUACACCAAAACAAGCUUUGAUGUGGGUUUCUGCCACUUGAAUAAAUUAUAUGUGUACAAACGUGUAAAAGUAGGGACUAACAUAAUAUGGCACCGUGUAUGAGAACCUUCAGUGAGAUGUUCGUGUUGAUCCUGGGUUUCAGGCUCUGUGGACUCCGUGAAGGUUAUUCUCUGGUCUUCUGAGACUAACUCAAAUAUUAAGAGACUGGAUGGGAUGACCUGUAGGUUCUUUCGAGCUAUAACUAAGCCUUGCUGAUUUUUCUCCUUGCUUCCUUUUUGGAAUGUAACUGCUAGUGAAAGUUUCCCUCUGCCUCAAAGCCACAUCAUGAAGAGAUGUUCGGUGGGAGAGGCGGGACCGCAAAGCAGGGAGACGAGGUGUUCAAGUAUGGGAUGGCUUGGAAAGCUGGCUAAAAGAUCAAUCACAUUGACCGUCAUCAGUUACGAGAAGAUUAGCUAUGUUUUUUGAAGUAAUCUGAUUGUAGAUUCUGGACCCUCCUCCUUAGAAGUGGGUUGUAAAGCAGAUUCCACUUACUGGAUGGGAGGGAGAUUGGGUGACAGAAAAUGGUUUUUGUCAACAUUAAUAAUUUGUCCCCCGUCUCUCUCUCAUGCAGCAUUGGAAAUACUUAGAUCAUUCAGUUAUUAAAACAUGCCAAGGAAAAUCUGUCGCCUGUGACAGAAAUCUCAUAGAUAUUUUUCUAGAGCUUUCCCACCCAUGACUCAACACUUCAUCAUGCAUGCGUAAUACCUCACCUCCUUUUGUGAAUUCUGUCAUAUCUACAACCUCGACAUCUGAUUGUUGACAUAGCCCCAGUUGAUGAAAAUGAACAAAAACAGAGUGUGUUAUGAAGGAAGAUGAGCUCUGCCGUGUACGGCCCUGUAAGAACUAAAACUUGCGGGAGUAUUAAGCCGUGAUUAUCAUUCAUGUAGUGUAUGACUUGAUAUUCAAAGGAAUUGGCACAUGCAUAUGUAUGCCUACAAUAGACUAAUUUGAGAAAAAUGUGGCCUAAUGAAAAAUGCAUGGACUGAGAGAGAGAAGAGCUGUUUUGAGCCUCACCCCUCACCCCCUUCCAGCUCUGUGACUCUGAGCACAUCACUUAACCUCUCUGGCUUCCACUUCUUUGCUGUUAAACUAAUUGUGGUUUUUUGGUCUGAGCAUGAAAUGAAUAACGUUUCUGAAUGAACUUUAUAAAUUAAAAAAAGUAUCCAAAUGUUAGUUUACUAAUUAAAGCUGAGACUGGAAAUAUUCAUUAAAAGUAAGAAAAUAAGAAUUAAAUUUCAAUUGUAACAAAUCAUACUGUCCAUUUAUAAUCUUUUAUCAAUCUACUUGAUGAUUAAUUAUUUUAGGGACUGGGAUGUGCCAGCUGUCCCUCGAGGGACACAUAGUGAACAAGACAGGUACAGUCAAGUGCUGAAUGAAACCGACAGCAAAUGAUACAGUCAGGACAAUUAGACAGUACAAAAUGGCAUACAGAGUGAAAGGGAGAACAAGGUACCCAGUUGGGUUGGGGCCGUAUGAGGUGGGGGCCCAGUCCCCCUGAAGAGAUGUCUCUGGGCCAAGUCUUGACCAGGGUCAUCUGGGCGAAUGAAGACCUGAGGGAGAACAUUCCAGGCCGAUGGAACAGCCUGUGCAAAGCACCUGGGGUAGGAUAUGGUCAGGCCUUGAAGCUGGGGUUUCCCCUUCUUGUUAUUUUAGACCUCUGUGUUUCCCUGUUUUCUACGGGGCUUUCAUCACAUCCUCCUCUGACGUGCGUCUGAUUCUAUGCUCUGGAGUAAGAGCAGCUUGAAGACGUCUGCUCCCCUGAUGUCUUCUUCAUUCUCUUCAGCCCUGAGCCCCCGGGAGCCCAGCAUCUUCUCCCAGGGGCCACCCUAUUCUCGCAGGCUGAAGAGGAGGCCCCUGCUCCCUGGGGAAGAGAAGGACAAAAGGGAAGGCUGAUGCACCAGCCCCCCCGGGGAACCAGAAAAAGGGCAUGAUUCAUGCCAGGGCUUGGAGUCAAGGGAGAAGGUUGGAUGAAGAAGGCAGUUUGAAGACUUUCCCCCUUAAAAAAAAAAAGAACAGUCCCUCACCCUCCCUGCCCCCAUUUAGGUCGAGCUCCCCAAAGCAGCGGCUGCCCCCAGCGUGAAGUGGAAGGAAUGCACGGGAGUGUAGAACCCAGAACUCAGGGGAGGGGACAUAUCAUUUGCCGCCAACACAUCAGUCGAGUCACCUCUUCUUCCCUCCAGCUUAACGCGCUGAAGAGCCCUGACCCUGCCACGGUCCCUGUGCAGAAGACACGCGAGGUGUCAUCACCGCCUUUGUGACGGAGACCCUGAGCUUCCCUUGGCAUUGCCUUUGGACUCGUGCAGGGGAUCUCACUGGGGAAGGCACCUGUGGGAAAGCCACCUUCCUCUGAGGGCUUGUCCUGGCCACAGGAAGGUUGGCAACCCACAUAGGCCUGGGCAUGGUGGCCACAAGAAAUGGCUUGGUGUAGGGAGGACAUACGGCUAUAUUCCAGAAAGAAACUCUGCCUCCAUUUCCAGAGACCAAGACCUCUCUUAGACUCUCCUUCAGGGAUGGAAGUCUGACCAUUUCUCAUAAAACCGCGGACACGGCACAAAUGCUGGAAACCAGCCUCAAUCCCAGCUUCCACGAUCCGGAAGAACCCAGUUUUACCCAUAUCUAUCCAACUUCUGUAUGCUUUUUUGUCAGGGAAAACGGAGGCUACAGGAAGAUUGAACUAAAAACGCAGAGGUUUUUCUCUGUGACAUUUGGCUCAUAUAUAUUCGGGAUGUAUAUCGUCUCUAUGGGUUUUUUCUGCUUUUCCCAAGGAGCAGGGAGUUUUGGUAACAUUCAUUUGCAGUGGGGAGAGGCAAGAGGAGGAGGGAACAUGGGGUAUAGGAGAGCUGGUUAGAAGAGAUCAUCUGGUUAUUUAUUUAUGGUUUAUUUAGGCAAAGGGGCCUUGAAAAAAAAAGGCUUUGAUAAGAGUGGCCAAAAGUCUUCAAAGAUUAACUGGCUCUUUAAAAGGGCAUUAGUUUUCUUUCCUACAGGUGUUCACAGAGCUCGGGACUGGGUGUCCACUAGAAUUCUUUGCUGGUCUGUAGAUUUCCUUAAGGCACACUGCUGACAUCAUGGAGCCCUCUCUCCCUCUCCCUCUCCCUCUCUCCUUCUCCCCCUCCCUCCUCCCUCCUCGUCCCUCCUCCCUCUGCUCAAUCUCUCCCAAUCUCUUUCCUCCUCUCUUCAGUUCCUUCAGGUAAAUCCUACUCAAACUUGUACCAACUUGUUUUUGACUGACAGCGAACAGCGAGAGACUUUUCUUCACUUUGAGAGAACCUAAACACCUAUCUUUCCCAAGGCAACCUGCAUCGACAGAUCAUUCCUUUGCCUGGUCAUAACUUCCCAUCUAGGCAGGAGUCCGUGCAUCCGUCUCUGCAGGCAGAAGCAGAAUCCCAUGGUAGCCAGGUGAGUGAAGGGGAGCGAGGACGUCCCACCUGCCUUGAAGAAGACGCCUUCUGACCCGCGGAGGGAGUGACCAGUUUGCGGAUUUCUGCGUCUAGAGGUCCUAGUUCCCAGAGUGUCGAAAUGCUUCCCCCAGGGGAUAUGGUAAGCCUCACUGAAACUCAAGCUAUGGCUGCCAUCCAGUAACUUCCUUAUGCCAAGGGGCCAGCAGGUGAAGAAAGGGGGUGCCACACUGUCAGUGCCUACAGAACCUUGAAACACAGAAGCUUCCUGUCCUUGGCUUCCUGACCAGGUGCUCCUGGCUGGCCCUAUCCCCAGCAGUUCCCAGCAGACCUGGUUCCUGGCAGUUAUGCCUGUGUUUUGCUUCCAGGUGUAUCUUUGCCCAGAGUUGCAGAUUCCCUACCAUAAGUCUCUGUUCUUUUUCCCCAAGGACCCUCAUCGGUUUUCAUAAAGGAGGGUUUCCCUUGCCCACUCCUGGUGCUUUAAGUCACAGCCAGCAUCUUUGCUAGUGGGCCACCAGCCCACUCUGCUAACUAACCAACAACUCUGUUUUGGCCUCUGAGGAAAAGUGCCUCAUGGGAUCAUCAGAACUUCAGCCAGAGGACACAUGUGGGCAGAGCCUAGACCUAGGGCCAAAGGCAACAAGCCCAAGCCAAGAACAGAGACAUGAAGUCAUCAACAGUCCCUGCUGCUCCAAACACAAGCCCGGUCGAGCCUGAGGGGUCCCUGGGGUGUCCAAGAGUCCCCAUUCCCUAGAGUCAAGAGUCAGUAGGCUCAAAUGGACACACCUGAUGUUGAGUCUUCACCGUCGCGUCUUGACCCUUGAGGUCGUACAAGUAGUGAAGCAUGAGCAGUCUCACACUCAGAUCUCUUAUGGUCUCCACCAAAACGUCUGAAACCUGAUAGGUUUCCAGAAAAGCGCAUACCAUUGUCUGUGGUGGUCACAUCUUCAGUUUACUGCCAUCCAUGGAACAAUGCAUUAGCUCAGUGAGGGCACGGACAUCCGUCUCAACACUGUUUUAUCCCUAAUGCCUAGAUCAUUCCUGGCACCAGUAAGUGCUGAACAAAUAUUGACAGAAUGAACAAUCACUAUGAUUUGAAAGGGCAUUUAUCAAGUGUUUUACUCCAACAAACACAGGAAACCAUUGAUUAUUACGCCUUUUGCUUAAACUUUUCGGAGUUUGGAAAGAUUUCUUGCCAAGGCUUGAUCACUACCCCCAACAAGAUAUGGUGAUCACCUCACCGAACGCACCUAUACCACCUUUGGUCCUGAGCACUCAGGCUCUCCAACGCGUCUUACAGAAGACCCUCUUCUCAUAAGAUCCAGUGAAUUCAAAUGCAACAGCUUUACACAGUGGAAGAGGCCGCAGUUGACUUGGGUGAGAAAUGCCCUUUCCCACCUGUGAAAAUGGCCCCACAGCGUAUGUAAGCCCUGGUGCGCACUAUUCCUGCCACAAGUGAGCCCGGAACAGUUAUUUCUGCUGACACUGCCAUCACUCUCUCUCCCCAGGACACUUCCUCUGUUAUCAUGUAGAGCAAAGCUAGGAAAAAGUUCCCCGGUGCGACGUGGCAAAAACCUGGACUCUUCUGAACACCAAAAGAGAGCAAAUUCUCGCAAGUUUAAAGCCUCAGUAAUCUAAUUGGACAAUAAAAGGAAUCUAGAAAUUUGCACAAAAAGUGAAUUAUCACACAAAAGGAUAGUCUCCCUGGGACUGACCUCACUCUCCCUAAAAAGUGGAAGUGAAAAGCUCUGAGUAUUGAGAGACCCAUUGUUUUCCUCCUGGUUCUGCCAUGACUUGGCACCAUGGUCUUGAGCAUGGUACCGACCUUUGUAUGCCCUCUCAGGUUCGGGAAGGGAUUGAUAUCUGCUGUGCCUGCCUUGAUAUGAGAAAUCGAGCACAUGGGGAAGCCCUCUGAGAAGGGCAGAGGGCCAAACAGAAGCAAGGUCCAUGGGGCAUGAGUCCUCUCACAGCUGGGCCUUUUGCAAGGAUAUGCAUUAUGUAAUGAUUCAGCUUUGUAGAAAUUAUCCCCAUAAGAACACGACUUAUGGGUUGGAAUAUAAAGCCUCUAAUGGAAAAGGACAGGUAAGUUCUUUUUGCUUUUGUUCUUUCUUUGGUUUUAAUUCCUUAGGCCCAGCAAUCACUCUAGUGUCAGGUAUCAUAGAUCAAAAAUCCCACACACUCAGACACACAACCACCCCAGGAUCAUAGGCACAUAUCACUAGAGACUCAUUCAGGAAAAUUCCUUCCAGACUGAUGAGUGACUGAAUGGCAGGGAAAGAAUAAGAGAACGGGCAGAACCAUAAAUCAGGCAGAGAAAGCAGGAAGUAGGGACUAGCUAAGUAGACAUGAUGAUGCCCAGCCCAGAUUCCCCUUCAAGGGAGGAUAUAUUGUCCCAGCUGCCAGGGCGACUACCAGCCCUCCUUGCACGGUUUCAGUCACAGGGGGAUGGCCCACAACCAAUGAUGGAUGGAGGAGGGAGUAUAAAAGCCCAGCAUUUGGCCAUUUUAGUUCCCAAGCUCCCCAUAGGGUCCUGCACCACAAUUCAGCUUCUCCUCCAGCCCAAUCAUGCUUUUCUUCCCUUCCCUUCCUCUGGUGUCCAUCCCAAGGUCACACUUUUAUAAACAGCUUCUACCCUAAACUCCAUCUCAGAGUGUGCCCAGGUAACCCAACUUGUGACAACUAGGAAAUAAAACAGAUGGACUUCUCCAAGACAAAGAGGAGAAUGAGAAGGACAAGGGACAGACCUUCUUCCUUUGUACUGUUGUCACCUGUCCUCAUCUAGGUCAUGGCUGCAGCCAGACGCUGGAGCACAGCUGGGCUCCUAGGGCGUCUGUCUCACCCUAGCUCUGUCACUCACUAGCUGUAUGAUCCUGGACAGAACAACCUCUUGGGGCCUCUGUUUACCCAUUGGCAAGUGGGGAGACUCAUGACCCCACCUCGAUUGAGUCUUCGUCAGAGUCUAGUAGGGUAAUGAUGGGAAUGAGCACAGGGAACCAUGACACUCCACCUAUUAGUGACCAUUUCUCUCCCCUCCAACCAAAGCUUGAAAUGCCAGUAGGAGCUUGAAAACAAUAGCCUAAAAGGAAGAGUUUCUCCUCUGCCCUUCAAUUCUCAGGCUGGCAAGGUGAUUGCAGGGAACAGUUGGAGGCUGGAAGUGAUGGGAGGCAGGGGGCAUUGUCGUCUCAUUAAAUGCUCAUGCAAUAGGGUAAUCUUGAGUCCCUCCUACCUGCCAGGUGUCAGGCCAGUCCCUCAUACUCCUCACAUGGGGGUCAUGGGCAUUAUUAAGAAUCUUACACACAAAUAAAAACCUUCUGCAUGGUAAUGAGCCAAGUAAGAGAAGUCACAGAGGGCUUCCCUGAAGAAGUGACACUUGAACUAAGAAAUAAAUGAUGGGCAGGAGUUAUGUUGACAAAAAAAGGAGGGAAGGUGAUUCCCAAUCUGAGAAAAUGCAAGUGCAAAGGAAUCCCCAUGGUAAAGAGAGCAAUGAGCACAAGGUCUGGAAGCAUGAGGGUGAAGCCUGGAGUAGUGGGGGAGUGAGUUGUGGGGCGGGACUGGAGAGAAAGGUGAGAACCACGUGGAGCAAUCCCUGGUAGGUGAGUUAAAGACUUUCAUCUGUAUCUUAAGUGCAAGGAGGAGCCAAGCAUGGCUUUAUGUGGAGCAUUCGAGUGAGUAUUCUGGGUACACAGGGAAGGACAGAUGAGAGGAGGCCAGAGUGAUUGAUUUAGUUUGAGUCUGGCACACUCAUUUUAAGUGUUUAAAUGAGGCACUUGAUAAAGCAGGUACUAUUAUGAUCCUUAUUUUAACUAUAAAGAAAUUAAAACAGAGAGAAUAAAUAGCCAGUAUUCCAACCAGGCUAUCUGGCUGCAAAGUCACACGCUUAACAACUACACAACACUAUGCUAUGGGUAGACCAGAUGGACGGCUAUUUCAGUAAUCUAAACUGGGUGGAGCAAUGGAGCUGGGGGGAGUAGAUAUAUUCUGAAGAUAUGUAGGACAUUAAAAGAAAAAACGGAGAGAGCGGAUUAAGAGUAUACUUGUGAUGAGCCCUGAGCAAUGUACAGAAUUGUCGAAUCACUAUAUUGCACACCUGAAAUGAAUAUAACACUGUAUGUUAAUUAUACUUCAAUAUAAACUUUAAAAAAGAGAAAAAAAGGAAGCGAUCAGAAUUCAGUCACAGAUGGGUCAGAGAGAGGUGAAGGAGAUUGUCUCAGGGAUAGGGCCAGGGUGGAACUGGGAGGUGCCACUCACUGAGACGUGAAGCAUGGGUAGAGAACCAGGGUUGUGGUGUUUGAGGGCAGGGGAAGGAGGCAAGGGACAGCCAGAGUCCAUUUGGACCUGCAGAGCACUGAGGUGCCUUAGGGAUGGAGCUGGUAGU